Sander lucioperca (pikeperch) is the source of this 112-nucleotide long non-coding RNA. RefSeq lists it as uncharacterized. Lineage: Eukaryota; Metazoa; Chordata; Actinopteri; Perciformes; Percidae. The record is from RefSeq and is a predicted model, not a curated record. The transcript has 5 exons.
UAAUCGGCCGUUGGACAGUCUGGCGAGGUCAGUGACUUGAGUCUGUUCGGCGUGUUCCGUUCCGUCGUCUGUCCAAGGUGCCGUCGACCUUCAUUUUGGCUGAGUCUGGACA